GGCCGAGUGGUGUAGUGGUAACAUGUUUCCCUCCGAAGGAAAAGAGCCUGGGUUCAAACCCCAGCUUGGUCG
Molecule: non-coding RNA, 72 nt
Organism: Zopfochytrium polystomum
Lineage: Eukaryota; Fungi; Chytridiomycota; Chytridiomycetes; Chytridiales; Chytridiaceae
Source: the annotation of a GenBank genome assembly